Molecule: transfer RNA, 64 nt
Filed under: Sermyloides sp. BMNH 846593
Lineage: Eukaryota; Metazoa; Arthropoda; Insecta; Coleoptera; Chrysomelidae
Description: tRNA-Glu
Source: RNAcentral
AUUUAUAUAGUUUAAAUAAAACAUUAUAUUUUCAUUAUAAAAUUAGACUCUUAUCUUAUAAAUA